RNAcentral lists this ribosomal RNA (427 nucleotides) under uncultured bacterium. Its description in RNAcentral is "partial 16S ribosomal RNA". It matches the Rfam family "Bacterial small subunit ribosomal RNA", at positions 355 to 774 of the family's 1533-position model. The record is from RNAcentral.
UGGGGAAUAUUGCACAAUGGGCGCAAGCCUGAUGCAGCCAUGCCGCGUGUAUGAAGAAGGCCUUCGGGUUGUAAAGUACUUUCAGAGGGGAGGAAGGCGAUAAGGUUAAUAACCUUGUCGAUUGACGUUACCCGCAGAAGAAGCACCGGCUAACUCCGUGCCAGCAGCCGCGGUAAUACGGAGGGUGCAAGCGGUAAUCGGAAUUACUGGGCGUAAAGCGCACGCAGGCGGUCUGUCAAGUCGGAUGUGAAAUCCCCGGGCUCAACCUGGGAACUGCAUUCGAAACUGGCAGGCUAGAGUCUUGUAGAGGGGGGUAGAAUUCCAGGUGUAGCGGUGAAAUGCGUAGAGAUCUGGAGGAAUACCGGUGGCGAAGGCGGCCCCCUGGACAAAGACUGACGCUCAGGUGCGAAAGCGUGGGGAGCAAACA